Molecule: transfer RNA, 71 nt
Filed under: Marmota monax (woodchuck)
Lineage: Eukaryota; Metazoa; Chordata; Mammalia; Rodentia; Sciuridae
Description: tRNA.Gly
Source: RNAcentral
UGGGGGUAGCUCAGUGGUAGAGCACUUGCCUACCAUGUUCCUGGCCCUGGGAUCCAUCCCCAGCACCACAA